Molecule: ribosomal RNA, 492 nt
Filed under: uncultured bacterium
Lineage: Bacteria
Description: partial 16S ribosomal RNA
Rfam family: Bacterial small subunit ribosomal RNA
Source: RNAcentral
AGUGAACGCUGGCGGUAGGCCUAACACAUGCAAGUCGAACGGCAGCACAGUAAGAGCUUGCUCUUACGGGUGGCGAGUGGCGGACGGGUGAGGAAUACAUCGGAAUCUACUUUUUCGUGGGGGAUAACGUAGGGAAACUUACGCUAAUACCGCAUACGACCUACGGGUGAAAGCAGGGGAUCUUCGGACCUUGCGCGAUUGAAUGAGCCGAUGUCGGAUUAGCUAGUUGGCGGGGUAAAGGCCCACCAAGGCGACGAUCCGUAGCUGGUCUGAGAGGAUGAUCAGCCACACUGGAACUGGGACACGGUCCAGACUCCUACGGGAGGCAGCAGUGGGGAAUAUUGGACAAUGGGCGCAAGCCUGAUCCAGCCAUACCGCGUGGGUGAAGGAGGCCUUCGGGUUGUAAAGCCCUUUUGUUGGGAAAGAAAAGCAGCAGGUUAAUACCCCGCUGUUCUGACGGUACCCAAAGAAUAAGCACCGGCUAACUUCGUG